CAGAGGGUGAGGGGAGGGGGGGGCGCUGUUCCCGCCCCCGCCGCAGGGGAGGGGGGGGCGCUGUUCCGGCUCCGCGCCGCGUUUUCCCGCUCACCCCCCCCCCCCGCUCCGCGCAGCGCUCCCCGCGCCUCCUCACUCCUCCGCGCCUCCGGAUCCCUCCGCCGCAGCCGGCGCUGGGCUUUUUUCACCUCCCCCACCCCCCAUCCCUUACAUCCCGAUUAUCCAGCCGGGGGGGGGUGGAAUGCGGGAAGGGAAAGUCUUAUCCCCCCGUUCCUGUAAGAGUGUCCAGGAAUCGCAGGAUCCGUCAGGUUGGAAAAGACCUCUGAGGUCAUCGAGCCCAACCUUUCCCUGCUCAGGAUGCGCUGAGCUGUCCUUUGUCCCAGGCGUGGAUGCGCUGCUCUUCACCUCACUGCCCGAAAACUUCAAUAAGGGGUAAAACUCGUUCCCAUUAGAGUCGGCUGAAGGAUGUCUCCAGGCUGAGAGGGCUUUGGGAUCUGCUGUUUAAUACUUAAAUUAUUUAACCAGACAACACUAAAAAUGCAUAACAUAUGCAAGCCACAAAAAAAAAAAAAAAAAGGAAAAAACAGGAGGGGAAAGCGAGUCUGCUGACACACAAACACGGCCAGUAAAUACCGUGUGGUUCAUUAGAUACGGGCUGGGGUGAUUCUGCCCAGCAGUUAAAGGCCUCUCACUUCCUCUGCCUGCUCCAGAUUGUUGCCUUGUACAAGCUCCUCUCUCCAGCUCUGCCGGUUCCCAGUUUGCCACCUUUUAAAUGUGGAGCUGUUGAUCCUCUCUGCUGUUGCGGUGCAACACUUUGAUGCCAAAAAACCCCCCUUCCUCCGCUGAAUCCACAAGUUUCAGGGAUGCUGGGACUACUCAGGAAAAGCAGGCAACAUGUAAUGAAAUUAUGUGGAAGAGAAGGAUCCAUUAGAGCAAGGAGAUACCCGUAAAUCCUGUUAGCAGCCAAGCAUUUCCAUAGAAAUUUCCUGAUUCUGGAUGCCCCGCACCUUUCCUAUGCUUCCAUUUCCUUAACACCACUCCUAAAUCUCUAGGUGGCUUCAUUUACAAACCUAAACCCCAAAUGUAAAUGGAGGGGGGAGGAUCUCUUUGAAGUCCUGUCUCCUUUGUGGGUUUUAACUCUUAAAUUCCGUUGUUCAGGGUCUACUGGAAAGAGCAGCCUCCAGCUCUUGGAGUAGGAAUCAUCUCUUGGCUUUACACUCCUCCAGCACCACUCAGUUAAGGAUGAGCUGUGUGGUUUUAGUCCUUUUAGUAUCUUUUAGUUACUUUCUCUUUGUUGUACUUUUAUUCCUUUGCUCUUUGUACUCCAACCGGUGCAGAACGGCUUCCAAGUACAGGGAUUUAUUCUGUCAGCCUCGCGCUGCUUCCCUUAAACAUCAAAAUAUUAAAACACAAAAGCUCACUGAUUACUCAUCAGCAGAUCGGUGACUUUACACACAGACAGCUUUCUCUGGAGCAAAUUAAAACAACUCCUUCAAAAAAUUUGGGCUGAGAUGGAUUGUUUCCAGAUCCUCUUUUUUUUUUCCCCCUCAAUAAAAAAGGCAGGUCCCAAUAAACAGCCGCUGUAGAGAAGCUGAUGGCUCACCACAUUGUGAUGCUGGUGGUUUUGGUUUCACUGCAGCCCUGUGUUUAGAGUGCACAAGAAGGGAAAAUGUCACUUUGCCCACAUGUCCCAUAAGAAUAAAUCAUCCUGGAUACUUCAAAUGGAUAAAGCGUCCCCCAACAGAGAGCUCAUUUCUUAGCCUGCACUGCAAAGCAUGAUGAUGCCUGGUAGAUAGUUUAAAUUGUCAUAGGAGAAUUAUCAAAAGCCUAAAAAAAACCCCCAACACAUAAAAACGAAGAACUGAAAUUCUUCAGCUGCAGGAAAUUCAAGUGUUGGAGAGAGAAAAGCCCACAGCACCCUGAUAUCAGGAACUCUUAACUGAGGAAAAGUGGUUUAUUCCUACAUGUCCUUUUCAAUGUGCUCUUGUCUAAGUUAUUGUUUGUCCUCUUGUUUUUAUGGCAACCACUCCAGGACUGACCACUUUAAUAUUCACUACUGGAGUGUUUGCAGUGAUUCCUGAGAACUGGGAGGGAUAAUGUGCUCAGCACAGGGAUCCUCAGCACGGCUGUGUAGGGGCUGAAGAUACACCUUGAGAAGUCUCAGGUUCUGAGAUUAAGUCUAAAUCAAUUAUUCUGACUGAAUUUUGUUCAAUUAAUGAUGUUAAUUGCCUGCCUGGAGACUGUUUAAAAUUUGAAACCAUUUCAUAACUUAUACAUAAAGAUUUUGCAGUUGGGAGUGAUUUGUUGUUACCAGAUUUGAUACAAAUCCCUCUCCUGCUGUUUUUUUGGCUCUCUGGUGCCAGGUGGAAGGGCAGCCCUGCUUAGUUUGGGAAAACAGAUGAUCUGGUUGAGAAUUGUGCUUUAUUUUAAGUAAUUACCAGAUCCAGGGUAGUAUUUACACCUGUAUUUUUCAUGUUCUGGCUGAUGACAUUUUUUUAUUUUUAAAGUUACUCAAGUGACUCCAUCUCAAGCAGAGAUUCUGCUGAAUCCAGACUAGCAGAAUCCAGUAAAAAAAGGUGUUAGUUUUCUAAAGCUGCAGUUGCAGCACUGAGCACAGCUUAACCAGGGAGAGCUGAGGUUAUUGGCCUGGAGUACUCGGGCCUUGCUACAUCUGCAGUGGUAUCACUGAAGUAUCGCUGGAACACGCUGCAAGAGACUCUGCUCUUCAUCUUCCCGGCCUCCUGCCAGGCCUCUGGCGGAGGAUGAGGGAAGUUUAGAGGAGCUUCCCAAAUGGGAAAGGAAAAAAAAAGUCAUUUAAGUGAUGUACUUGUGAAUCAGCAGCUGAAGAAACGUCAUGUGAAGGGAAUCCCACUGUCAGUGACAGAACCCUUCCCAUGCCGCCGUGCUCCAGUGAAAGCCCCGGCAACACUGUCCAGUCACAGCUCCUAAAUGGUGCUAAACGUCCCCAAUUCCAUGCUCCGAGGGCUGGCAGCAGGAACACGGGGGAGCAGAGAGGGGAUGGCACUGUCUGUGCCCUGAGCUGCUCUUGUGGGCAGCGGUGCUCACCUUCCCCACCAUGGCUGCGCUGCAGGUCACAGGAGCUACAGCCACGAGGACAGAGAAAACACGUUGGAGGAGUCAGGCAGGUGCUUUUGAAGGAGGAGGAUGUUUCAAACACAAUUCUCAGCCCUCUGCAUGACCUGUUUGGGAUCCGGCAAGGCUGAGUUAGUCCUGAGGCCAAAGGAGUAAAAUGCAGGUAGAAGACAGAGGUGUCUCCUCUCCACCUCACUCGAGGAGUGAUAGUGAAGAGAGAGCACAAGACAGCACAAAAUUGCCAAGACAUCAUGCUCAUUUUUCAGCAAACACCCAUUAGUGAAAUUGUUUUCUUUGCUUUUGACAGAUCAGUUCAAGCCCACACACAUCCUGCAGGAUACGUUACACUCAAGGCUCAAGCCUCUCUCAUUUCCCAAACAGCUCUGACACCCUGCUAGUGAUCAUCUACUGAGGCACCUCAUUUCACGUUGUAGUCCCUCAUGACAAAAUAAUUCCCACUGUUUAUACCCUUUUUUAAUGAAUGGAAGAUGCUCUGAUGUAUAAGUGAAAUACAUUGUAAACAUCAACAGUGGCUAAACUUGAUUUGCAUUUUCUGCGGAUGUCAAGUUGCCCCCUUACAAACCUUUUUGGUUUUUUUUUCUGCCCUCAAGGGAUUUUUGAAUGGUGUUUCAAAGACCACUGAUGACACCAUUCAGUAGCUGGCAAGAGAAAGAAUCCGUGGAUGGAGCUAAGAAGGGAGAUAAAAACAGUCUGUGCCCCAAACCCAACAUUUUCACAGUGCACGUGGGCUGGUUGUGUGAGCCAGAUGCAGAGAGCUCCAGGGAUGCUCCGCCGCAAUCCUACAACCCUAAUUCCUGCGCAUUUAAGGCUGUAUCUGAUUAGGCAUUUCUGUGUUUUCCAAGUGUGUAAUUAUCUAGCACAGUACGUGUGAGUUAUGGAGUAAACCCAGUUGGGAGUGGAGCACUGGGAAGGGGAGAAAAGGUCUGUAUGUGGGUGGGUGGGUUUGUCCGUGCUGGUGAUUGCAGCAAUCAGGGAGUGCAGUGCAGAAAAAACCCUUUCCUGGGAAGAAACUGAGAUAAAAUCCUGGCGCUGUGCUGCGAGCAGUUAUCACCUCGCUGUAGGCCACGAGGGAGGCGAUAACUAGAUCCCAGAUCCUUGUAGGAUCCUCCUUAGGAAGAAAUUCUUUACUCAGAGGGUGAUGAGGCUCUGUCACAGUUGCCCAGAGAAGCUGUGGCUGCCCCAUCCCUGGAAGUGUUCCAGACCAGGUUGGACAGGGCUUGGAGCAACUUGGGAUAGUGGAAGGUGUCCCUGCCCAUGGCAGGGGGUGGAACAAGAUGAGCUUUAAGGUCCCUUCCAACCCAAACCACUCUGUGCUUCUAUGGUUCUGUGAUCCAGAGCACCUGCUCAGGUAUGGUCCCAAGCAGGUGAGAAUUGAAGAAAUAGAAGUUUCAGGCUUCUCAGAGUUGAGGAGUUAAGGAAAUCCAAGUGUCCUUGCUGUAAAUGCAAGGUAAAUUAUUCAUUCUCUCUCUCCCCCCCCUCUUUCCUCCCUCUAGUUCAGUUUUUCUUUUCAUGCUUUAAUCGUUUUGACACCAAGCUGUACAAAAGUAAUUUAAAAUUAACAUGACUGACACUUGGUAGAUAGCAGGACCCAGCACAGGGCUCCACCUUCUACUGGGAACUGUGGAGAAGGGCUCUGGAUUGGCUGCAGGUCCUGAGGCAGCUGAUGGGGGCUAAGGAAAAACACGGCAAACAAUUAAUUUGCUAAUUUAGUUUUCUGUUUAAUUUGAGACCAGAAAAUUGUCAGGCACUCAUCAGCCCACGAGCAAGGCUGAGUGGACUCAGGGCAGAGCUGCACUCCUGACAGCAAGGAGGGGAUGUGUUUGAUUAGCCAGCAAAGCAAUUUCUCCUCCGGUACCGGUGGCAUUUCACAGGCUCGGCAGCGUGUUUGAGCACUGAAGUUCUGCAGCGCUGGGUUUGGUGUCACCUCUCCCCGAUCCAGCCCGUUCCGUACAUCUGAUAACGGUCUUUUUCCCUGGGAAAGAGGUGACACGCACACGUGUGUUGAGAAACAGCUGUGAAAAGUUGUCACCUCGAGCACAGAACGCGCCGCAGCCCGUCAUUAACCUGGCGCAGCCACACGGUGCCUCGGUCAGCCGGAAUUCUUGCAGGGAUAAUGACUCCUGCACGCGAUCAGCGAUGGCGAGGCGGAACGAACCUGCAUCGGGACUAAUGUCCUUUGAUGGGGAAAGAAAUGCUCUAAUUUGAUUUCCUCCCUUCAGCUGCCGAGUGUGUAAUUUCAGAUCCGCGCGGAGCGGGCCCUUUACGCUCCAUUUUGGGCCUAUUUUUGAUUGAUUAAAUUGAAUUGUGUCUAUUUA
This is a long non-coding RNA of Pseudopipra pipra, 5429 nucleotides long. RefSeq lists it as uncharacterized. Lineage: Eukaryota; Metazoa; Chordata; Aves; Passeriformes; Pipridae. The record is from RefSeq and is a predicted model, not a curated record. The transcript has 2 exons.